This 197-nucleotide ribosomal RNA is filed under the name uncultured bacterium. Its description in RNAcentral is "partial 16S ribosomal RNA". It matches the Rfam family "Bacterial small subunit ribosomal RNA", at positions 328 to 539 of the family's 1533-position model. The record is from RNAcentral.
ACGCUCGACACCUACAGGAGGCAGCAGUGGGGGAUAUUGCACAAUGGGGGAAACCCUGAUGCAGCAACGCCGCGUGAAGGAAGAAGGUCUUCGGAUUGUAAACUUCUGUCCUAUGGGAAGAUAAUGACGGUACCAUAGGAGGAAGCUCCGGCUAACUACGUGUCAGCAGCCGCGGUAAUCUGAGCGGCUGGCAAGGC